AGAGCGAACGCUGGCGGCAGGCUUAACACAUGCAAGUCGAGCGGGCGUAGCAAUACGUCAGCGGCAGACGGGUGAGUAACACGUGGGAACGUACCUUUUGGUUCGGAACAACACAGGGAAACUUGUGCUAAUACCGGAUAAGCCCUUACGGGGAAAGAUUUAUCGCCGAAAGAUCGGCCCGCGUCUGAUUAGCUUGUUGGUGAGGUAACGGCUCACCAAGGCUACGAUCAGUAGCUGGUCUGAGAGGAUGAUCAGCCACACUGGGACUGAGACACGGCCCAGACUCCUACGGGAGGCAGCAGUGGGGAAUAUUGGACAAUGGGCGCGAAGCCUGAUCCAGCCAUGCCGCGUGAGUGAUGAAGGCCCUAGGGUUGUAAAGCUCUUUUGUGCGGGAAGAUAAUGACGGUACCGCAAGAAUAAGCCCCGGACUAACUUCGUGCCAGCAGCCGC
RNAcentral lists this ribosomal RNA (450 nucleotides) under uncultured bacterium. RNAcentral describes it as "SSU rRNA". It matches the Rfam family "Bacterial small subunit ribosomal RNA", at positions 26 to 518 of the family's 1533-position model. The record is from RNAcentral.